This 264-nucleotide ribosomal RNA is filed under the name uncultured bacterium. RNAcentral's name for it is "partial 16S ribosomal RNA". It matches the Rfam family "Bacterial small subunit ribosomal RNA", at positions 333 to 591 of the family's 1533-position model. The record is from RNAcentral.
GUACCUACGGGACGCAGCAGUAGGGAAUCUUCCACAAUGGACGAAAGUCUGAUGGAGCAACGCCGCGUGAGUGAAGAAGGGUUUCGGCUCGUAAAGCUCUGUUGGUAGUGAAGAAAGAUAGAGGUAGUAACUGGCCUUUAUUUGACGGUAAUUACUUAGAAAGUCACGGCUAACUACGUGCCAGCAGCCGCGGUAAUAAGGAGGUGGCAAGCGUUGUCCGGAUUUAUUGGGCGUAAAGCGAGUGCAGGCGGGUCAAUAAGUAUG